UACAGAGGGUGCGAGCGUUAAUCGGAAUUACUGGGCGUAAAGCGCGCGUAGGCGGCUUUUCAAGUCGAUUGUGAAAUCCCCGGGCUUAACCUGGGAACUGCAGUCGAGACUGUCUAGCUAGAGUAUGGGAGAGGGAAGUGGAAUUUCAGGUGUAGCGGUGAAAUGCGUAGAUAUCUGAAGGAACAUCAGUGGCGAAAGCGACUUCCUGGACCAAUACUGACGCUCAUGUGCGCAAGCGUGGGGAGCAAACAGG
Molecule: ribosomal RNA, 253 nt
Filed under: uncultured bacterium
Lineage: Bacteria
Description: partial 16S ribosomal RNA
Rfam family: Bacterial small subunit ribosomal RNA
Source: RNAcentral